UGGGGGAUAUUGCACAAUGGGGGGAACCCUGAUGCAGCGACGCCGCGUGGUGAAGAAGCGCCUCGGCGCGUAAAGCCCUGUCAGCAGGGAAGAAAAUGACGGUACCUGAAGAAGAAGCCCCGGCUAACUACGUGCC
RNAcentral lists this ribosomal RNA (136 nucleotides) under uncultured bacterium. RNAcentral describes it as "partial 16S ribosomal RNA". It matches the Rfam family "Bacterial small subunit ribosomal RNA", at positions 355 to 509 of the family's 1533-position model. The record is from RNAcentral.